GACGAACGCUGGCGGCGUGCUUAACACAUGCAAGUCGAACGGAAAGGCCAUGAUCUUGUGGCGUGCUCGAGUGGGGAACGCGUGAGUAUCACGCGAGUAACAUGCACCUGUAUUUGGGAUAACUUCAGGAAACAGGGGCUAUUACCCGAUAGGAGCUCCUGCAGCAUAGGGUGGGAUGGAAAGAUUCGGCGGUUGGGGCUGGUCUCGCGGCAUAUGCGCUUGUUGGUGGGGUAGUGACUUACCAAGGCUUCGACGGGUACCGUGCCUGGGAGGCUGAACGGCCACAUAGGGACUGAGAGACGGCCCACGCUCCUACGCUAGCCAGCAGUGGGGAAUAUUGCCGAAUGAGCGGAAGCCUAGUGCAGCAACUCUGCGUGCCGUAUAACGGCCUUCGGGUUGAAAACCGAUUUCGCAUGUGACGAAGCGUGAGUGACGGUAAUGGGUAAAGAAGCACCGGCUAACUACGUG
Molecule: ribosomal RNA, 468 nt
Filed under: uncultured bacterium
Lineage: Bacteria
Description: partial 16S ribosomal RNA
Rfam family: Bacterial small subunit ribosomal RNA
Source: RNAcentral